This 490-nucleotide ribosomal RNA is filed under the name uncultured bacterium. RNAcentral's name for it is "partial 16S ribosomal RNA". It matches the Rfam family "Bacterial small subunit ribosomal RNA", at positions 30 to 507 of the family's 1533-position model. The record is from RNAcentral.
AUUGAACGCUGGCGGCAGGCAUAACACAUGCAAGUCGAACGGUAACAGGGAUCAGCUUGCUGAUUCGCUGACGAGUGGCGGCCGGGUGAGUCAUGUCUGGGAAACUGCCUGAUGGAGGGGGAUAACUACUGGAAACGGUAGCUAAUACCGCAUAACGUCGCAAGACCAAAGAGGGGGACCUUCGGGCCUCUUGCCAUCGGAUGUGCCCAGAUGGGAUUAGCUAGUAGGUGGGGUAACGGCUCACCUAGGCGACGAUCCCUAGCUGGUCUGAGAGGAUGACCCGCCACACUGGAACUGAGACACGGUCCAGACUCCUACGGGAGGCAGCAGUGGGGAAUAUUGCACAAUGGGCGCAAGCCUGAUGCAGCCAUGCCGCGUGUAUGAAGAAGGCCUUCGGGUUGUAAAGUACUUUCAGCGGGGAGGAAGGGAGUAAAGUUAAUACCUUUGCUCAUUGACGUUACCCGCAGAAGAAGCACCGGCUAACUCCGUG